Gallus gallus (chicken) is the source of this 529-nucleotide long non-coding RNA. The record is from Ensembl. NCBI's taxonomy places the organism in Eukaryota, Metazoa, Chordata, Aves, Galliformes, Phasianidae.
GGGUGCAGUGCCAGACCAAUUGUUGUAUGUUUGUUUGUAUUUUAUUUUGUUACAGAUAUUUCUUAAAUCUCACUUUACCUGGAAAAGCUCAACUCAUUUUGAAGACCUCUAUUCAGAAAAUAACUGCAACUAUCCAUCCAGGGAGGAAUCAUAGGAGCCCUGCGGUUUCUAUGAACUCAGAUGUUUUCUGGAUAUCAGCUGCGAAAAUCAUGCAUUCACAAGAAUUGAAGCUGCCUGACAAUCCCUGGAGAUGGCAGCAGAGGGGCAAUCUGACAAAUUGGUAUCUGAUGUGGAAGUGCAUAUGGAGCAGACUUGUCACUGAAUUCCUCUAUGUGGAAACAGUUCAAUUCAUCAACAUUCUUUGAUGCUUGCUAAAUGUUUAUGGAGACCAAACAGUGGAUGUUGGCACAGUGGGGUGGUGGGUGGUGAGUUUCAGCUGGGGUGACAGUGACAGGGGGUCACCUUUGCUGGUGCGAAUUUUUACAAGUGCGACAUGCAGGCUUGUUUAUCACUGUCAAAAAUAUGCAGC